GACGAACGCUGGCGGCGUGCUUAACACAUGCAAGUCGAACGGAAAGGCUCCAGCUUGCUGGAGUGCUCGAGUGGCGAACGGGUGAGUAACACGUGGGCAAUCUGCCCUGCACUCUGGGAUAAGCCUGGGAAACUGGGUCUAAUACCGGAUGGACCUUUCUCCUCAUGGGGUUUGGUGGAAAGUUUUUCGGUGCAGGAUGAGCCCGCGGCCUAUCAGCUUGUUGGUGGGGUAAUGGCCUACCAAGGCGACGACGGGUAGCCGGCCUGAGAGGGUGAUCGGCCACAUUGGGACUGAGAUACGGCCCAGACUCCUACGGGAGGCAGCAGUGGGGAAUAUUGCACAAUGGGCGAAAGCCUGAUGCAGCGACGCCGCGUGAGGGAUGACGGCCUUCGGGUUGUAAACCUCUUUCAGUAGGGACGAAGCGCAAGUGACGGUACCUGCAGAAGAAGCACCGGCUAACUACGUG
This 466-nucleotide ribosomal RNA is filed under the name uncultured bacterium. RNAcentral's name for it is "partial 16S ribosomal RNA". It matches the Rfam family "Bacterial small subunit ribosomal RNA", at positions 28 to 507 of the family's 1533-position model. The record is from RNAcentral.